UGGGGAAUAUUGCACAAUGGGCGAAAGCCUGAUGCAGCGACGCCGCGUGAGGGAUGACGGCCUUCGGGUUGUAAACCUCUUUCAGCAGGGACGAAGCGCAAGUGACGGUACCUGCAGAAGAAGCACCGGCUAACUACGUGCCAGCAGCCGCGGUAAUACGUAGGGUGCAAGCGUUGUCCGGAAUUACUGGGCGUAAAGAGUUCGUAGGCGGUUUGUCGCGUCGUUUGUGAAAACCAGCAGCUCAACUGCUGGCUUGCAGGCGAUACGGGCAGACUUGAGUACUGCAGGGGAGACUAGAAUUCCUGGUGUAGCGGUGAAAUGCGAAGAUAUCAGGAGGAACACCGGUGGCGAAGGCGGGUCUCUGGGCAGUAACUGACGCUGAGGAACGAAAGCGUGGGUAGCGAACAGG
RNAcentral lists this ribosomal RNA (409 nucleotides) under bacterium. RNAcentral describes it as "partial 16S ribosomal RNA". It matches the Rfam family "Bacterial small subunit ribosomal RNA", at positions 355 to 776 of the family's 1533-position model. The record is from RNAcentral.